Long non-coding RNA from Populus euphratica (Euphrates poplar), 890 nucleotides. RefSeq lists it as uncharacterized. Lineage: Eukaryota; Viridiplantae; Streptophyta; Magnoliopsida; Malpighiales; Salicaceae. The record is from RefSeq and is a predicted model, not a curated record. The transcript has 2 exons.
GUGUUGCAAACAGUAUCAGUUUCGCAAUGCAAGGGAAAAUAUGUUUUUGUUUAUUGAAUAUGUUGCUUGAAUGUUUUUUUAUUCAACUUGAACAGAAUGGUACUUCAGGAAUAGUCUUCCAGACCAGCUUAGACCUUGCAAGGAUGAGAUCCCCUAAGUUCAGGAGGAUUAUCUCUGACUCAGGCCUCUCAUGAUGGCACACUUCAUUAAUGUUCCACAGGAAAUUGAUAUAUUUGCAGAAGAUGGUGGCUUGGUGGGUCGGUAUUCAAGCCUCUUAUUCGAGGGGCUGUUCCUGGUUUAAAAGUUUGGUGAUAGGGUAUCCUAAGGCGUUGGACAGAGAAUGUGUAAUGGUCAAUGGUGCUGCUGUUUCUGCUCUGGGCAAAAUAACGCAGUUCCAUCGUGAAAGACUCAAUGUGGCAAAGGUAUGUUUACUUGUUUCUUCUUUCCAGAUUAUUGGCAAAAGAAGCCUUUGUGCUUUACCAAAUGCAUUUACAUUUCUCAGUGAAUUUCUUCUGAGACUUUCCUUUUUGGAUUGAUCUUGAGAGUUCUAGCUCAGUUGAAAGUAAAAAGAGAUGUUUUGCAUGGUUCCAUUGCAUUUUUGGAAAGAAAUCCUCCGAUAUUUGUCAACAAUUCAUGCUCUGAAAUAGUACAACACCAAUAUUUUCUCAAAAAUGCUGGUCAGUGAUCAUUCUGUCAAGUGUGUAGCUGGUUUCUUUAUUUAGCAGGUUAUCGAGAUGUGUUUAAGCCAUUUGCCACUAAAAAUAAUAGAAAUCAGGCAACAGUUUUGCAUCAUCGGCUAAUUCAAACAAUAAAGGUUAACACAGCCAAAAAUUCUCCUUUCCGCUAUCAUUUCAGCAUAAGCAUCGUCAAUUCAGCAAAAAAUUCCCUAA